GACGAACGCUGGCGGCGUGCCUAAUACAUGCAAGUUGAGCGCUGAAGGUUGGUACUUGUACCAACUGGAUGAGCAGCGAACGGGUGAGUAACGCGUGGGAAACCUCCUUUUAGGGGGGGGACAACUUUGGAAACGAAUUGUUAUUCCGGAUUAAAAACUUUAAACACAGGUUUAAGGUUUGAAGAAGGCAUUGCAUUACCCCAAGGUUGUUCCGCGUUUUAUUAGCUAGGUGGUGAGGUAAAGGCCCACCAAGGCGAUGAUACAUAGCCGACCUGAGAGGGUGAUCGGCCACAUUGGGACUGAGACACGGCCCAAACUCCUACGGGAGGCAGCAGUAGGGAAUCUUCGGCAAUGGACGAAAGUCUGACCGAGCAACGCCGCGUGAGUGAAGAAGGUUUUCGGAUCGUAAAACUCUGUUGGUAGAGAAGAACGUUGGUGAGAGUGGAAAGCUCAUCAAGUGACGGUAACUACCCAGAAAGGGACGGCUAACUACGUG
Molecule: ribosomal RNA, 496 nt
Filed under: uncultured bacterium
Lineage: Bacteria
Description: partial 16S ribosomal RNA
Rfam family: Bacterial small subunit ribosomal RNA
Source: RNAcentral